RNAcentral lists this ribosomal RNA (388 nucleotides) under uncultured bacterium. Its description in RNAcentral is "bacterial SSU rRNA". It matches the Rfam family "Bacterial small subunit ribosomal RNA", at positions 29 to 408 of the family's 1533-position model. The record is from RNAcentral.
AACGAACGCUGGCGGCGCGCCUAAUACAUGCAAGUCGAGCGAGAAGACGUAGCAAUACGUUUGUAAAGCGGCGAACGGGUGAGGAAUACAUGGGUAACCUACCCUCGAGUGGGUAAUAACUAGCCGAAAGGUUAGCUAAUACCGCGUACGCUCCUUGGACUUCGGUUCAGGGAGGAAAGCGAUACCGUGGGUAUCGCGCUCUUGGAUGGGCUCAUGUCCUAUCAGCUUGUUGGGAGGUAACGGCUCACCAAGGCUUCGACGGGUAGCUGGUCUGAGAGGACGAUCAGCCACACUGGCACUGCGACACGGGCCAGACUCCUACGGGAGGCAGCAGUAAGGAAUAUUGCGCAAUGGGCGAAAGCCUGACGCAGCGACGCCGCGUGGGGGA